Molecule: RNA transcript, 2977 nt
Organism: Solenopsis invicta (red fire ant)
Lineage: Eukaryota; Metazoa; Arthropoda; Insecta; Hymenoptera; Formicidae
Gene: YME1L
Gene name: ATP-dependent zinc metalloprotease YME1L
Exons: 14
Source: RefSeq, a predicted model, not a curated record
UCGCCCGCAAGUCGCCCCCGCACAUUGACUUGGCGCUAGAGUCCCUAGGGGACUCUGAUUGCUGGUGAGUGAGCGUGAGUCAUCGGCGAGCCUAAUAAACUUUUAGUUCGUGCCUUUGACGACUAACCAUCAAUUGGCUCCGCGUUCAAAAUACAGUUGGUCCUCGCACAUUAAAAAAAAUCACGUUCAAUGUUUCAACAAAUUGCCAAGUGACCGGUCACGUGACUGUACGCGCGAGGAACACCAAGAAACACCGCGGCCGUCCAACUACGUCAGAUUUGCACCCGUCAAACAGGGCAACCUGGACGAUCGGCGACGUGCUCGUAUGUACGUUUCCACGCGAUUCAUCGGUUUCACGCGAUCGUUUCUUCAACUCCGGAUUGUUCAUAGUGCCACGUAAAUUCGCAGGAUUUUCUCAUCCCGCAACUCGCAAUUAUGAUAUCUCUUCAGUCUCACAAUCAGGUCUUGUACCAUCUAACACAAUUGGCAUUGACAGCAACUCCUAGAACAACUUCAUAUUCGGUUCAAGUUAAGAAACAGGACGAGUCUUUACAAAAGAAUGCAGAGGAGACAAUAAUUUAUCCUGGUAGUCUCGAGGAGGCGGCAAGAAAUUGUACUGAGUUACCAGAUGUAAAUUUGAGCACUUUAAAUGGGUUGCAAAUGAAGAACAAUAAGGCAUGCUUAAUGCUGGAUAACAUAGCUGUCAGUGUAUUUAGAAAAUCCUUGCAGGAGAAUAAUAAAUGGAAAGUGUCUUACUUAUCUGGCCUAAGUUUUGCUGAGAACAAACAGGACUUUCCAUGCUCCUCAUUUACAGAGCCCAUCAUUCUACCUGUCAUUUAUCUAACGUCGAAACAGCAACAUAGAUUGUUGCAUACAUGGUACUGCAAGAAACUACACAAUCAUACGUCGAUUCGUACUUUCAAGUCUCAACGUAAUAUAAAAAUAGAAUUGGAGCAGAAUCCACCAUUAAUGAGUAGACUAAAGAAAUGGCUUGGUCUGUCUUCUAAUGUACAAAUGAGUUUGGUACCUGAACUAAAGGGUUCGGAUUAUGAAAAACUAAAAAAUAUCUUCAACAAUACUGAGGCAACAGUCGACGAACAGAAGAGAAUAAAAAUGGCGUUUGUAGAGGGAUACGAAUCUGGAUUACAACGUCAGAUGCGGGGCCGAACAAUGUGGCUAAAAGUCAUGCAGAAUAUAAUAACUGUCUCUGCUAUUAUUGUUGUAAUUUGGCUUUAUCUCAGCUAUCCAGGAGGAGGAAUAUUUAAGCUUCCUAUGAGCCAUAGGAUUGAAAUUGAUCCUGAGGACAUCCAUGUCACUUUUAGCGAUGUUAAAGGGGUAGAUGAGGCAAAACAAGAACUUCUAAAUGUAGUAGAAUUCUUAAAGAACCCUGACAAAUUUUCCGCCCUUGGCGGAAAAUUGCCGAAGGGAGUAUUGUUGGUUGGCCCGCCAGGAACAGGAAAGACUUUGUUAGCGCGUGCAGUCGCCGGAGAAGCCGGUGUGCCAUUCUUCCAUGUGGCGGGCCCUGAAUUUGAUGAGAUCCUCGUUGGCCAGGGAGCCCGACGUGUCAGAGAUUUGUUUAGGGCGGCUAAAGAAAAGGCACCGUGCGUAGUAUUCAUUGAUGAGAUCGAUUCCGUGGGUGCAAAAAGAACGAACUCGGUUCUUCAUCCUUAUGCAAAUCAGACAAUUAAUCAAUUACUUUCCGAGAUGGAUGGCUUUCGUCAAAAUGAAGGCGUCAUUGUUCUUGGAGCCACGAAUAGACGCAAGGAUCUCGACAAAGCGCUAAUGCGUCCUGGCCGUUUCGAUGUUGAGAUUUAUGUUAACAAGCCUGAUUAUUUGGGCCGUAAGGAAAUAUUAGACCUCUACUUAGCCAGAAUAUUAACACAUGAAGUCGAUACGGUUUAUUUAGCACGCUGUACUACAGGAUUUACCGGAGCUGAUCUUGAAAACAUGGUAAAUCAAGCUGCAUUGCGCGCAGCGAUUGAUGAAGCAGAUUGUGUCACUAUGAAACACUUGGAAUAUGCUAGGGAUAAAGUGUUGAUGGGCCCAGAAGGCAAACUAAAAUUACGCGAUGAGGAAGUCAAUCGCAUUACAGCAUACCACGAAGCAGGACAUGCUCUAGUAGCCUUUUAUACAAAAGAUGCUACGCCGCUUCAUAAGGUCACUAUUGUACCACGAGGACCAUCAUUAGGCCAUACUUCCUAUAUGCAUGAGAAGGAUGUUUAUCAUAUUACGAAGUCGCAACUGUUAGCCAAUAUGGAUUCCAUGAUGGGUGGCAGAGCUGCAGAAGAGUUAGUAUUUGGACCAGAAAAAGUAACAACAGGAGCUUCUUCCGAUUUAGUGGAGGCGACGAAAAUAGCGGAGAUGAUGGUGAAGAUUUACGGAAUGUCAGAGAAAGUGGGAUUCAGGUCAAUAGUGGAGAAUAAGAAGCUUUUCGGUAGCGGCAGCACGUACGCGCCAAGCACGAACGAGCUCAUCGACAAUGAAGUAAAGCGGCUUUUACAGGAAUCAUAUGAACGUGCGAAAACAAUUUUAAAAACGCACGCAAAAGAACACAAGCAAUUAGCAGAAGCUUUAUUGCAGUACGAGACAUUGGACGCGGAUGAUGUGGCUGCCAUAGCAAACGAAACAGGACUUAGUAAACGGGAAUCUUCUGCAGAUCCAAAGAGAUCGACGAAAUGAUCUUAAUUUAAAUAUAAUUAUUUGAUAACAUUUAUCAAAAAAUGAAUCAGUUUUUGGUCUGCGUUUAUUUAAUAUAAAAUUUGAACAAUCCUACUUUCUUCAAAAAUGGAAUUCAUCGAGAUUGAUGACAGGAAUCAAUAUUUUUGUCUUCCUUUUACACUUGGGAUUCGCAAUCGAUAAAUCGCAAAGUGUUCAGCGAAUAUAUCGAGUAUAAUAAAUUUUAAUUUCAAUGGAUAUAAGUAUAAAUUGUAUUGAAUUAUGUAUAUACAUACACAAAUAUUUAUAUACAUAUCUCAGA